CCUACGGGAGGCUGCAGUGAGGAAUAUUGGUCAAUGGACGAGAGUCUGAACCAGCCAAGUAGCGUGAAGGAUGACGGCCCUAUGGGUUGUACACUUCUUUUAUAUGGGAAUAAAAUGUGCCACGUGUGGGAUUUUGUAUGUACCAUAUGAAUAAGGAUCGGCUAACUCCGUGCCAGCAGCCGCGGUAAUACGGAGGAUGCGAGCGUUAUCCGGAUUUAUUGGGUUUAAAGGGAGCGUAGGUGGGUGGUUAAGUCAGUUGUGAAAAUUUACGGCUCAACCGUAAAAUUGCAUUUGAAACUGGGAGUCUGGAGUGCAGUAGAGGUGGGCGGAAUUCGUGGUGUAGCGGUGAAAUGCUUAGAUAUCACGAAGAACUCCGAUGGCGAAGGCAGCUCACUGGACUGCAACUGACGCUGAGGCUAGAAAGUGUGGGUAUCAAACAGGAUUAGAUACCCUUGUAGUC
This 460-nucleotide ribosomal RNA is filed under the name uncultured bacterium. Its description in RNAcentral is "partial 16S ribosomal RNA". It matches the Rfam family "Bacterial small subunit ribosomal RNA", at positions 338 to 795 of the family's 1533-position model. The record is from RNAcentral.